UUUAUUGGAGAGUUUGAUCCUGGCUCAGGAUGAACGCUGGCGGCGUGCCUAAUACAUGCAAGUCGAGCGAACGGAUUGAGAGCUUGCUCUCAAGAAGUUAGCGGCGGACGGGUGAGUAACACGUGGGUAACCUGCCCAUAAGACUGGGAUAACUCC
Molecule: ribosomal RNA, 156 nt
Filed under: Bacillus thuringiensis serovar higo
Lineage: Bacteria; Bacillati; Bacillota; Bacilli; Caryophanales; Bacillaceae
Description: partial 16S ribosomal RNA
Rfam family: Bacterial small subunit ribosomal RNA
Source: RNAcentral